This 492-nucleotide ribosomal RNA is filed under the name uncultured bacterium. Its description in RNAcentral is "partial 16S ribosomal RNA". It matches the Rfam family "Bacterial small subunit ribosomal RNA", at positions 29 to 507 of the family's 1533-position model. The record is from RNAcentral.
AGUGAACGCUGGUGGUAGGCCUAACACAUGCAAGUCGAACGGCAGCACAGUAAGAGCUUGCUCUUACGGGUGGCGAGUGGCGGACGGGUGAGGAAUACAUCGGAAUCUACUUUUUCGUGGGGGAUAACGUAGGGAAACUUACGCUAAUACCGCAUACGACCUACGGGUGAAAGCAGGGGAUCUUCGGACCUUGCGCGAUUGAAUGAGCCGAUGUCGGAUUAGCUAGUUGGCGGGGUAAAGGCCCACCAAGGCGACGAUCCGUAGCUGGUCUGAGAGGAUGAUCAGCCACACUGGAACUGAGACACGGUCCAGACUCCUACGGGAGGCAGCAGUGGGGAAUAUUGGACGAUGGGCGCAAGCCUGAUCCAGCCAUACCGCGUGGGUGAAGAAGGCCUUCGGGUUGUAAAGCCCUUUUGUUGGGAAAGAAAAGCAGCAGGUUAAUACCCCGCUGUUCUGACGGUACCCAAAGAAUAAGCACCGGCUAACUUCGUG